RNAcentral lists this transfer RNA (73 nucleotides) under Crassvirales sp. RNAcentral describes it as "tRNA-OTHER". It matches the Rfam family "tRNA". Rfam says of the family: Transfer RNA (tRNA) molecules are approximately 80 nucleotides in length. Their secondary structure includes four short double-helical elements and three loops (D, anti-codon, and T loops). The record is from RNAcentral. Lineage: Duplodnaviria; Heunggongvirae; Uroviricota; Caudoviricetes; Crassvirales.
GAUUACAUAGUUUAAUGGUUAGAACACUACCAAUCUAGGUAGAGAUUCAGGUUCGACUCCUGGUGUAAUCCUA